GAUGAACGCUGGCGGCGUGCUUAACACAUGCAAGUCGAACGGGAAUUAUUUUAUUGAAACUUCGGUCGAUUUAAUUUAAUUCUAGUGGCGGACGGGUGAGUAACGCGUGGGUAACCUGCCUUAUACAGGGGGAUAACAGUCAGAAAUGGCUGCUAAUACCGCAUAAGCGCACAGAGCUGCAUGGCUCAGUGUGAAAAACUCCGGUGGUAUAAGAUGGACCCGCGUUGGAUUAGCUUGUUGGCAGGGUAACGGCCUACCAAGGCGACGAUCCAUAGCCGGCCUGAGAGGGUGAACGGCCACAUUGGGACUGAGACACGGCCCAGACUCCUACGGGAGGCAGCAGUGGGGAAUAUUGCACAAUGGGGGAAACCCUGAUGCAGUGACGCCGCGUGAAGGAAGAAGUAUCUCGGUAUGUAAACUUCUAUCAGCAGGGAAGAUAGUGACGGUACCUGACGAAGAAGCCCCGGCUAACUACGUG
This 478-nucleotide ribosomal RNA is filed under the name uncultured bacterium. Its description in RNAcentral is "partial 16S ribosomal RNA". It matches the Rfam family "Bacterial small subunit ribosomal RNA", at positions 28 to 507 of the family's 1533-position model. The record is from RNAcentral.